GGGUCGUUAGCUCAGUUGGUAGAGCAGUGGACUCUUAAUCCAUUGGUCGAGUGUUCGAGUCACUCACGGCCUACCA
Molecule: transfer RNA, 76 nt
Filed under: Burkholderia cenocepacia
Lineage: Bacteria; Pseudomonadati; Pseudomonadota; Betaproteobacteria; Burkholderiales; Burkholderiaceae
Description: tRNA-Lys
Rfam family: tRNA
About the family: Transfer RNA (tRNA) molecules are approximately 80 nucleotides in length. Their secondary structure includes four short double-helical elements and three loops (D, anti-codon, and T loops). Further hydrogen bonds mediate the characteristic L-shaped molecular structure. tRNAs have two regions of fundamental functional importance: the anti-codon, which is responsible for specific mRNA codon recognition, and the 3' end, to which the tRNAs corresponding amino acid is attached (by aminoacyl-tRNA synthetases). tRNAs cope with the degeneracy of the genetic code in two manners: having more than one tRNA (with a specific anti-codon) for a particular amino acid; and 'wobble' base-pairing, i.e. permitting non-standard base-pairing at the 3rd anti-codon position.
Source: RNAcentral